UUUCCCAAAUUGUGGGUCGCGGGUAGAUUUUGGGUGGGCCCUGAAACUAUAGGACGAUUGUCGUACUUAGGUACGAUACGUUUUUUAAUUGAAAUGGGUAUGGUGAGGAGCUUUAGAAAAGGCCCAAGUCCAGCAGUGAACGUCAGUUGGCUGACGAUGAUGAUAUGUGGUGAGCUACGAUAA
Molecule: long non-coding RNA, 183 nt
Organism: Aricia agestis (brown argus)
Lineage: Eukaryota; Metazoa; Arthropoda; Insecta; Lepidoptera; Lycaenidae
Exons: 3
Source: RefSeq, a predicted model, not a curated record